RNAcentral lists this transfer RNA (128 nucleotides) under Candidatus Bathyarchaeota archaeon. RNAcentral describes it as "tRNA-Glu". Lineage: Archaea; Thermoproteati; Candidatus Bathyarchaeota. The record is from RNAcentral.
GCUCCGGUAGAAGAAGGGAGACUAUCCUUUUCUGCCAAAUAUAGCCAGGUUAAGCAUGCAUAUGCAUGGACCACGUAUUCCGGCCUUUCGAGCCGGAGACCCGGGUUCGAAUCCCGGCCGGAGCACCA